UAAUAUUUUUAUAUUACGUGAUAAUUUAUUUCACGGGACACGCACGAAUGCGUUGAUUUUAAUUACCUCGUGAGAGGAAACGAUUUACCGUUUCAAGAAUCUCGAUUUCGUUUCGUUUACCUUGAUUACUCCGCGAUUUCCGUCUAUUCGAUGGCAGCUCUCUGUUCCCCGGUAGCCGGAGGAACACGACUCGAACACGACGCGAUUCUCCGCUCGUCAGCGAUCGGUGAACGAUCCCUCGAUGCCUCGCGAACACGCAAUCGCGUACAUCCGGUCCGGUCAGUCGCCCUUGUAACUUUUGUAAAUAGGAAUUUUCGCACCGUCGCCCUUUCCCUUUUCAUUCUCGACAAACUUCACACGUUUUUCACAACGUAUGGGGAAACAUUCGCUUCUGGAUCGAGUCACUCACACGUUGCUACUUGCGAUCAGUAGCACCUCGAGGAUCGAUCGAGGAAUCUCGAGCGUUUGCAAGAAGGGCAACGAACGAUUGACUCGUUCGUGCUGCGCGUCCUCGAGGAGUUAAAGGAUCGGAGUAUAUAUCGCCUAAGAUAUCAUUGUUCGCGACCUGUCCUCGAAUUAUACCGCUCUAUACUCUGUAAGCAAGGGAGGAAUUUUCCCUUGCCAGUACCCGGAGAUUCGCGCUCGAGAGCGAAAGUGAAAGAGAGACAGAAAAAGAGAGAGAGAGAGAGAGAGAGAGAGAGAGAGAGAGACACAGACACAAACACACACACACACACACAUACACACACACACACAUACACAUAUGCGUGUUACACUCGCAGAGGGAAAAAGUUCGCGAACGUAGGUGUCCACGGCGUGGUAAAGAUGAAUUAUUAAACAAAGUAUAGUAGGGGCAAAAAAAGAAAAGAAAAAGAAAAUAGAGAGAGAGGGGGAGAGAGAGAACAUAGAAAAAAGGAUGAGAGAACAUAGAAAAAAGGAUGAGGAACGAGAGUAAACCUGUAUCUGUCACUCGUUGACGAAACAUUUCCGAAUUCUGCACAUACACUCCUUCACUUUAUCCAUAUUGCGAUCGUGUUUUCACUUACAAAGAGGGAUCGUCUCGUCCAACGAGUUCUCGUCGAUCCAAUUUACCUAAUAAUGUGUAAGAAGAAUUAACUGCCGACGACUGAUGAGACAGUGGGAAGCGGAAAGUAUUAAAAGUAAAUGGAUGGAAAGAAAAAAAAAUAAAUAAAAGACUCGGAAAAAUUAGAAAAAGAAAAGAAGAGAAUGUACCGAAGGAACUGGUCGGGCGAAGACGAUCGAAAAUUACGUGUUGUAUAUAUUAAAUAUAUAUAUAUAUAUAAAAUAAAUAAAUAUAUAUAUAUAAAUAUAUUAUAAAUAUUAUGGUACGAGAUUGAAUAUAAUAGUAAUGAAUAUAUAUAUAUAUAUAUAUAUAUAUAUAUAUAUAUAUAAUAUAUUCUGUGUCGAGGGCACUUGGCUUGCAAUUCGUAAAUAUUAACGGAAUACUUAUUUAUCCACUUGCACUCCAAUUGCCGAGCGACCUGUCGUUAUCCGUGAAUUUUUCGAGAGGAAGACUAUUAUCUAUUGGGGCAGAGUAAUAAGAUUAUAUAUAACUUAAGCGCGAGUUUUAAAGGGGGGGGGGGGAGGGAGCGAACACAAUUUGGGGAGAUCGUCGUGUCCGGUCGUGGACGAUCGAGAAAACGCGACCGGGGUGAGGAACAGUGCGGUUGGUAAUGAAACCAAGGGCGGGAUUAUUUGGAUUAUUUAAGAAACAGAAGAAUCGAUGAAAUCGCGAAUGUACUUGUUGCCAAUUAAGUACCAUUUUGUAUUAUCGUGUUCGCGAUGUCGAAGCGUUGUUCGUGCCGGAUAAGGAGGCUGAGCCGCAUCUGUGUGUCGACGUUUCGAGAACCCUUUGUUUCCGCUAAAAUUGGGAGCACAAACUCGAGAGAGAGAGAGAGAGAGAGAGAGAGAAAAGAAAAAGAAAGGAAGAAAGAAACGCAGAUAUUUUUAAAUACUUUUCAAAUUGAUUUCCCUGUGCGUUCAUCUUCCUUGGUUGAUAUUUAUGGGAUCAUUUUGGUCACGUUGCAUUGCCAACCAGUUUAUUCACGAAAAGUCUCGUUUGGUGGAACAAAACGGGUGUCUCGUUGCGUUCCCAGCGUAACUGCUGUGGUAUAUAUUAUGUGUACGAACGAUUUAAACGUAUUAGUGUAUGUAAUAGAGCCAAACGCGUAAGAGAGAAAGCAACACGCAUGACAGACACGCGAGGGGAUGAUUCGAUGAUACGUUUGAGAAUGUCUCGGUGUCCAGGGCCGGGCGAAAUUUUUUUACACACGCGUACACCGUAGCUUUAUACACGAUUUCGAUGCAUUUUCACAUGUGUGUUCAUGUCCGAAGGAGCCAAAUCUCUACAUUAUUGCCGAUCGUUGCGACCGAGACCGUCAUUUCUUGCAACAGGGUACAAAGACGUUUCAAUUUUACUCGUACGUGCGAGAACAUCUCUUCUACUUCACACACAGGGCAUAUAUCUUCGACAAUCUUUCCCGACAUUAUCGACGAAGAGAUUUUUUUUUAAAAAGCGUCUUUCGACGAAACGUAGAACGAAACAUAUACCUCCGAGCGCAAGUGGUGUACGAUGGAGCAGGCACGAACGAGAGGUAUCCCGUCCGACGUGAAAUGCUCGGUCUUUGCUAAUCGCAACGAGUCGCGCACGAAACGAAAUUUACAAGCGUGGGAGAAAAGAGAGCUACGAUCAGCACAAAAGAAAAUUACUCGUCGGAAAUAACAAUCACUGCCAAAGUAGCCCAACCCCUCCGGGAAAUCAUUUUUUCACGACAAGUCGGAGGCACGAACGGUAGAUCUCGCUCCGUUUCGCCUCGAGUCCCCUCUCGAAGUCUUAACUCUUUAACGCGCGAGAAAUGAAUUUUCGUCGAAGAACGAAGGAGAGAGAGAGAGAGAGAGAGAAUAAUGGAAAAGAGUAGAAGAAAAGGAAAAAAAAAUAGCAAAGAAAUAGACGAGUAUUCGUACACACACACAACCUGUGCUCGAUCUGUUCGGCCCGCGUGCAACGCGACUACGACGAACGAAAGCAUCGUCGAAACGAUAAUCGAUCAACGCGAAAACGAUUGGGUGGAUGUGGGUGGGGGGAAGGAAUCGGGGGAGCUUUAAGGGACACAGAGGUGGAAGUUUUUUUAAAUGGGUAAUUACGCGCGGAUAUACGUUGAUGUACAAAAAAAAAAAGAAAAAAAGAAAAAAAAGAAAAAAAGAGAGAGAGAGAGAGAGAGAAAGGACAAUUCCUUGCGGUAACAUUUUUAAUCGUUAAGCCACUUAUUUCGUAAUUCAUUUCUAUGGUACGCGUUAAUUGUAACGUUAAUUGAUAUUAUUUAAACGCAACGAUGAUCAUGCUGCGGUUAUACCACUCUCGCACGCGCGUACGUCUAUCGUGACACGUGCGCGUAAGUGCAGAGUCUAGAUAGGCUAGAUAUUAUCGACAUUGGAUGAUUUUCCGUUCCGUUCGGUUUCUUUUUUUCUAGGAUCUAUCUAAAAAUCUAAGGGCUACGGAUCGAUGGGCGAGAACGAUUUUUCUUCUCGAGAAUCGCGAAAGGGAAACGUGGCCAAGUUGAAUAUUUGUAAAACUUCUAACGAAUUAACGACGAAAAGAUUUUUAGUGUAAUAUUACGAGAAAGCAUGAUCGUUGGCCAUACAAUGGAGUAUAUAUAUAUUAUAUAUAUAUACAUAUAUUUAUGUUAAGUCUAGGUAUAUUGAAUAUGAUUAUUAAGAUUAAAGAUCACAAGGGAUAUUGGCGAUCGCGAAUACCUGAGAAGCGGUGUUCUCUGAAACAUUUUUAAAAUGUAAAUGAAUAUCAUCGGCGGAACGAGCACGAGCCUGUUUUAUACAGAAUUACAGAAUAGGAUCGAUUACGUUCGAGAAAUGUCGGUUUCCUAGAAUCGUUCGUAUAUCUCACGAUGUAACGAUGUUUUCAAAUUUUUUUCUUUUUUUUCUUUUUAUAACGAGGGCCCAAAAACACGAGCGAAAACACUUUAAGAAUACUUCAGAGAUCGCUGGUUUAAACGUUAAACUUUAAAAGAAAGAUUAAAAAAGAAGAAGAAGAAGAAGGAGGAGGAGGAGGAGGAGGAGGAACGAUUUAAAAGAAAAAUCGCUUUUUAACUAAACGAACAAAAAGAAGGGGAAAAAAGCGAAAAAGAAAAAAUACAAAUAUGGAGUUUUGAAUGUUACAUAAGGUCGAUAAGGUCGAAAUAACGAGAACAGAGAACAUGAAACCUACACGAACCUACACAAAAGCCGCAUCUACAUACAUACACAUACGCGACCACAUACGAGAAACGAAUGCGAGAGUGAAGAACAUGAACAUUUUGUAUCUGUACUUGUAGAUACAACGCAAUAGGCAAGAGUAAAAUCUAAUUAAGAAUUCAAAUGAAAUUAAUAUAUAGAAGAGCUGUAUGUAAUUAAUUGUAAGUUCAUUCAUCGCUAUGAUAUUAUACUUAGGUAUUAUAUGAUUUUUGAAAUAAAACAUUUGUUUUAAAUA
Long non-coding RNA from Frieseomelitta varia, 4504 nucleotides. RefSeq lists it as uncharacterized. The transcript is spliced from 2 exons. The record is from RefSeq and is a predicted model, not a curated record. Lineage: Eukaryota; Metazoa; Arthropoda; Insecta; Hymenoptera; Apidae.